RNAcentral lists this transfer RNA (67 nucleotides) under Sphinx ligustri. RNAcentral's name for it is "tRNA-Pro". The record is from RNAcentral. Lineage: Eukaryota; Metazoa; Arthropoda; Insecta; Lepidoptera; Sphingidae.
CAAAAAAUAGUUUAUAUUAAAAUAAUAAUUUUGGGGAUUAUAGAUAAAGGAAUUCCUUUUUUUUUGA